Molecule: ribosomal RNA, 506 nt
Filed under: uncultured bacterium
Lineage: Bacteria
Description: partial 16S ribosomal RNA
Rfam family: Bacterial small subunit ribosomal RNA
Source: RNAcentral
AUUGAACGCUGGCGGCAGGCCUAACACAUGCAAGUCGAACGGUAACAGGAAGAAGCUUGCUUCUUUGCUGACGAGUGGCGGACGGGUGAGUAAUGUCUGGGAAACUGCCUGAUGGAGGGGGAUAACUACUGGAAACGGUAGCUAAUACCGCAUAACGUCGCAAGACCAAAGAGGGGGACCUUCGGGCCUCUUGCCAUCGGAUGUGCCCAGAUGGGAUUAGCUAGUUGGUGGGGUAACGGCUCACCAAGGCGACGAUCCCUAGCUGGUCUGAGAGGAUGACCAGCCACACUGGAACUGAGACACGGUCCAGACUCCUACGGGAGGCAGCAGUGGGGAAUAUUGCACAAUGGGCGCAAGCCUGAUGCAGCCAUGCCGCGUGUAUGAAGAAGGCCUUCGGGUUGUAAAGUACUUUCAGCGGGGAGGAAGGCGAUGCGGUUAAUAACCGUGUCGAUUGACGUUACACGCAGAAGAAGCACCGGCUAACUCCGUGCCAGCCGCCGCUAUAA